CAAUAGCGUAUAUUAAAGUUGUUGCGGUUAAAAAGCUCGUAGUUGGAUUUCUGCUGAGAACGACCGGUCCGCCCAUUGGGUGUGUAUCUGGCUCUUUCUUGGCAUCUUCUUGGUGAACGUUACUGCACUUGACUGUGUGGAGCGCUACCCAGGACUUUUACUUUGAGGAAAUUAGAGUGUUUCAAGCAGGCAUACGCCUUGAAUACGUUAGCAUGGAAUAAUAAGAUAGGACCUCGGUUCUAUUUUGUUGGUUUCUAGAGCUGAGGUAAUGAUUAAUAGGGAUAGUUGGGGGCAUUCGUAUUUAACUGUCGGAGGUGAAAUUCUUGGAUUUGUUAAAGACGGACUACUGCGAAAGCAUUUGCCAAGGAUGUUUUCAUUGA
This 380-nucleotide ribosomal RNA is filed under the name uncultured eukaryote. RNAcentral describes it as "partial 18S ribosomal RNA". It matches the Rfam family "Eukaryotic small subunit ribosomal RNA", at positions 592 to 976 of the family's 1831-position model. The record is from RNAcentral.